Molecule: ribosomal RNA, 499 nt
Filed under: uncultured fungus
Lineage: Eukaryota; Fungi
Description: eukaryotic LSU rRNA
Rfam family: 5.8S ribosomal RNA (bases 191-344)
Source: RNAcentral
CGUAACAAGGUCUCCGUUGGUGAACCAGCGGAGGGAUCAUUACCGAGUUUACAACUCCCAAACCCCUGUGAAUAUACCAAUUGUUGCCUCGGCGGAUCAGCCCGCUCCCGGUAAAACGGGACGGCCCGCCAGAGGACCCCUAAACUCUGUUUCUAUAUGUAACUUCUGAGUAAAACCAUAAAUAAAUCAAAACUUUCAACAACGGAUCUCUUGGUUCUGGCAUCGAUGAAGAACGCAGCAAAAUGCGAUAAGUAAUGUGAAUUGCAGAAUUCAGUGAAUCAUCGAAUCUUUGAACGCACAUUGCGCCCGCCAGUAUUCUGGCGGGCAUGCCUGUUCGAGCGUCAUUUCAACCCUCAAGCCCAGCUUGGUGUUGGGACUCGCGAGUCAAAUCGCGUUCCCCAAAUUGAUUGGCGGUCACGUCGAGCUUCCAUAGCGUAGUAGUAAAACCCUCGUUACUGGUAAUCGUCGCGGCCACGCCGUUAAACCCCAACUUCUGAAU